Molecule: ribosomal RNA, 460 nt
Filed under: uncultured bacterium
Lineage: Bacteria
Description: partial 16S ribosomal RNA
Rfam family: Bacterial small subunit ribosomal RNA
Source: RNAcentral
CCUACGGGAGGCUGCAGUGAGGAAUAUUGGUCAAUGGACGAGAGUCUGAACCAGCCAAGUAGCGUGAAGGAUGACUGCCCUAUGGGUUGUAAACUUCUUUUAUAUGGGAAUAAAACGUUCCACGUGUGGGAUUUUGUAUGUACCAUAUGAAUAAGGAUCGGCUAACUCCGUGCCAGCAGCCGCGGUAAUACGGUGGAUCCGAGCGUUAUCCGGAUUUAUUGGGUUUAAAGGGAGCGUAGGGGGAUUGUUAAGUCAGUUGUGAAAGUUUGCGGCUCAACCGUAAAAUUGCAGUUGAAACUGGCAGUCUUGAGUACAGUAGAGGUGGGCGGAAUUCGUGGUGUAGCGGUGAAAUGCUUAGAUAUCACGAAGAACUCCGAUUGCGAAGGCAGUUCACUGGACUGCAACUGACACUGAGGCUCGAAAGUGUGGGUAUCAAACAGGAUUAGAUACCCCAGUAGUC